CAUGCUCUUCGUUCCGCUCAGCUCCCGUUCCAGCAAAUAGUGCCAAAAUCUCAUUCUCCCUUUCUUUCAGGCUUUCUUUUUCUUUUCUCAUUAAAAGACACAAGCAAAAAUAAGCGUGUGUCAGAGUGCGUUGCCAUGGCAAUAAUGUGAAAAUGAGGCAUUGGUGUUGAUCUGAGUCCAUCUAAACUUUUUUUAAAGGUCUUUAAAGAACAGGAAGGGAGCACAGAGAAGGGGAGAAAGAGAGCAGGAGAGCAAAAGGGGGAGAGAGAAGCCUGAAAAAGUGGCACGAAAUAGCUGGAAAUGCAUUUGGGCUGACAUAAUUCCCCUUUCCCACAGUGGUCAUUCACUUGGGAGGCUCCAGUGUCCAUUCACUGUCUUAAAGCUAGCUUUUCAGAGCCUAGGGAGGCCAUCUUUCCCUGCCUGAAUGCCUUUUUUGUUGCAAAACAGUGAACUGUUUCUGAAGCCCAGCAUAAAGGAGGAAAAACUGCUGGCAGCAUGGUUCCACAUUUAUGCGUGCUCUCUUGCUCUCAUAUACAGAGAGACGAUGCAACAGGCUUUACAGACAAUUUUAUGGUCCAGAAGGUAGAAAAGGCAACAAGGGGAUCGGCUACUCUUGAUCUCAUCUUAACAAAUGUGGAAGACCUGAUCAAUGCAGUCGAAGUGGUCGGAUCCUUAGGGGCAAGUGACCAUGUGCUCCUGCAGUUCGCCAUACAAAGGAAGGUUAAAACUAAGACAGGUCAAAUACACAUUCUGGACUUUAAAAGAGCUGACUUCCAAAAAAUGAAGGAAAUACUGAGCGGCAUUCCAUGGACACCAAUACUAAAAGACAAGGGAGUUAAGGAUGGAUGGUAGAUUUUCAAAAGUGAAAUACUCAAGGCACAAAUGCAAUUACAGUUUGUAUAUUUUGUUCAGACUCUAAUGUUCUAAUGUUUUAUGUUUAUAUUUUAUGCUGGUUUGUAUGAUUAUACUAUUUUACCUGUUUUACAUUGGUUUAAUCAUGCUAUAUUUUAUUGUAUUUUGGAACAGGGCUUGUCCUCAUGUGAGCCGCCCCGAGUCCCCUCUGGGGAGAUGGGAGCGGGAUAUAAAAAUAAAGUUAUUAUUAUUAUUAAAUGCAAACAGUGGCAACAAAGAAAAAAAAACAAGUGCAAAGAAGCCAGAAUGGAUGUCCAAAGAAUUUCUAACCAGGCUAAGACUCAAAAGAGACAUGCACAAGAAGUGGAAAAGGGGAGAAAUCACCAAAGAAAAAUUCAAACAAAUAGCCAACUCUUGUAGGGAAAAGGUUCGCAAGGCUAAAGUGCAAAAUGAGCUCAGGCUUGCCAGGGAUAUUAAAAACAACAAAAACUGCUUUUUUGCUUAUGUUGGUAGAAAAAGGAAAAACAAGGGGGUGAUAGGGCCUCUGCGAGGAGAAGACGGGGUGAUGGUGACAGGGGACAGGGAAAAAGCAGAACUACUUAAUGCCUUCUUUACCUUGGUCUUCUCACAAAAAGAAAGUCGUCUUCAACCUCAGCAACAUGGAAUGGAUGAAGGAUUAGGGGAAAUCCAACCCCAAAUAGGGAAACAAGUUGUCCAGGAACACCUGGCCACUCUAAACGAAUUCAAGUCCCCAGGGCCAGAUCAACUACAUCCAAUAGUAUUGAAGGAACUAGCAGAAGUUAUUUCAGAACCAUUAGCAAUCAUCUUUGAGAGCUCUUGGAGAACGGGAGUAGUCCCAGCAGAUUGGAGGAGGGCGAAUGUGGUCCCUAUCUUCAAGAAGAGAAAAAAGAACGACCCAAACAAUUACCGUCCAGUCAGCCUCACAUCAAAACCAGGAUAGAUUCUGGAAAAGAUAAUUAAGGAAGUGGUCUGUGAACACUUAGAAACAUAUGCGGUCAUCACUAAUAGUCAACACGGAUUUACCAAAAGCAAGUCAUGCCAGACUAAUCUGAUCUCUUUUUUCGAUAGAGGUACAAGCCGUGGUUAUAGCAUAUCUGGAUUUCAGUAAGGCCUUCGACAACGUCCCCCACGACCUUCUGGCAAACAAACUAGUAAAAUGUGGGCUAGACAAAACUAUAGUUAGGUGGAUCUGUAAUUGGCUAAGCGAACGAACCCAAAGGGUGCUCACCAAGGAGUCAUCUUCAUCUGGGAAAGAAGUGACGAGUGGAGUGCCGCAGGGUUCCGUCCUGGGCCUGGUUCUGUUCAACAUCUUUAUUAACGACUUAGACGAAGGGUUAGAAGGCACGAUCAUCAAGUUUGCAGACAAUACCAAACUGGGAGGGAUUGCCAACACUCCAGAAGACAGGAGCAGAAUUCAGAACGAUCUUAACAGACUAGAAAGAUGGGCCGAAACUAACAAAAUGAAGUUCAACAGGGACAAAUGCAAGAUACUUCACUUCGGCAGAAAAAAAUGGAAUAUAAAGAUACAGAAUGGGGGACGCCUGGCUCGACAGCAGUACUUGUGAAAAAGAUCUUGGAGUCCUCGUGGACAACAAGUUAAACAUGAGCCAACAAUGUGAUGCAGCGGCUAAAAAAGCUAACGGGGUUUUGGCCUGCAUCAAUAGGACUAUAGUGUCUAGAUCCAGGGAAGUCAUGCUACCCCUCUAUUCUGCCUUGGUCAGGCCACACCUGGAAUACUGUGUCCAGUUCUGGGCACCUCAAUUGAAGGGAGAUGUUGACAAGCUGGAAUGUGUCCAGAGGAGGGCAACUAAAAAGAUCAAGGGUCUGGAGAACAGGUCCUAUGAGGAGUGGCUUAAAGAACUGGGCAUGUUUAGCCUGCAGAAGAGAAGGCUGAGAGGAGACAUGAUAGCCAUGUAUAAAUAUGUGAAGGGAAGUCAUAGGGAGACUAGGACGUGGAACAAUGGCUUCAAACGACAGGAAAGGAUAUUUCAUCUGAACAUCAGGAAGAAGUUCCUCACUGUUCGGCAGUGGAACUCUCUCUCCCGGACUGUGGUGGAGGCUUUUAAGCAGAGGCUGGAUGGCCAUCUGUCAGGGGUGUUUUGAAUGCCAUUUCUUGCUUUGGCAGGGGGUUGGACUGGAUGGCUCAUGAGGUUUCUUCCAACUCUAUUAUUCUAUUAUUCUAUGAACUGUACACUGUUUUUAAGGCAUCAAACAGUUGCCUAUGUGUAAAGAUGUCUUGAGUCCCCUUCGGGAUUGAGAAAGGCAGGGUAGAAAUGUCGUAAAUAAAUAAAUAAAUAAUA
Molecule: RNA transcript, 3173 nt
Organism: Anolis carolinensis (green anole)
Lineage: Eukaryota; Metazoa; Chordata; Lepidosauria; Squamata; Anolidae
Exons: 3
Source: RefSeq, a predicted model, not a curated record